CUUGCAUGCUGUGGCCCGGGUGGGUGCCAGCGCUGCCGCGCCGCCCGCGCCUGGCAUCCCGAGCGGCCUCCUGCGUCCCGGCCCGGCUCGCAGGUGUUCAUGAGAAAAAUGCACAAAAUCCCGACUGACCGGAAUAAUUCAUGAAGAAGGGGCUGAAUCCGUGGGUCAGAGAACACAGGACCAGUUUGCCAUCCCAAGGCGGAAGUCUGGUGACUCGGAUUUGGCCCUGCGUUUCCCACUCCUGCUGCAUCUUACCCAGUCGAGGAACGAAAGGUCUUGACACCUUCCUGAAGCAUGGGAAGAAAGGAGGUUCUGAAAGCACAGAUCCAAGACCACCAGAGGCCGGGGACAGCGAUUCCUGGAGGGGCCGCUCACACAACACCAGGAGCUGAGGAGAACUGGAGCAGGAGGAACAUGGGCCCAACAAGGGUGGAAAUACCAGCAAUUCCAAAAGUCAUCUACAUCAGUGCCCAGGACGCCCAUGCAGAACCCACUGAAUGGAAGAAAACGUGGUGGCUGCUUCCUCAAUUUGCAACUGCAGAAGCUGGAAUAAGGGCCUGAGAAGGCAGAGAAGCCACAUGAGUCCAGUCCCAAAGCUGUCAGAGUAACCCUGAGGGAACUGUCUACUGAAUUAUGACCAGUUGUGCCAACAGACAUUGAGAAGAGACCUCCUUUCCAUUGGCUCCUAUCACACCUGGCUGCCACUGCUCCUGGGAUCUGGACCAUCUUGUAUCCACCUUUGAGCGUCACUUCCUGUUUCAGCUGUGGGAGUUCUGGUCCACUUUCCCUGUGAAGAAACCUUCACUUUUUCCUCCUUUGGAGUUCUGGAUUAGACUCUUGUACCUGGAACUGGGUCAAGUUAGGCUAAACGCACCUCUAGGCAUUCCUGUUUCUCAGAAGUUGUCAAGUUCACAUCAUACCUGUUUCAUUGGUGACCAGGGGUCCACUUCUAGCAGAUGCUACCUGGCCUGGUCAGUAUUUUUCAUGGUCAUCUCUUUAGUGCCUUUAUCUCAUCCCCUGCCCAACUCAGGUGAGACUUGCCCAGUGGUGACUUCUCUCCUGGUACUUUAGAUAGGGAGAGAAAAUGUGGCUUGGUGGAUCUGCCAUCUUCUUCAGUUUGGAGGCAAUUGGAGCAUGGCUCCAUCUAGGGAGGAAAAUGACUCCGAAAGAGACUGUCCUUAUCUCAGCUUCUGCCCUGUUCUACUCUCACAAUCCUUAUUCUUGCCCUUUGUGCCUGUCCUAAUGCAGGAGAAUUGUGGUUUUCUUUUUUCUAUUAAAUAUAACUGUAGCUAUUUUCAUUAUUGCAAAACAGCACAAGCUUAUUACGAAAACAUGAGAAAUAUAGACAAUAGAAGACAAAAAAUAUUCCCAAAUUUUAUCCCAAAGACAAGACAACUAUUGAUUCAUAUAGUUAUACAAUAUCAUACACAUAUACUACAUAUAUUUAUAUAUUUAAUGUGACUAUAAUAUCACAAUACCAUUUAUAUUCUUUGAUAACACAUCUUGUCAUUUAAUGUCUUAUGAAUAUAUUUCUAUAGCAACAAGCUCAGCUAUACUGAAAUUUUAAGAGUACUCAAUUGUAUAUAUGCCCUCAUUUAUCUCAUCUCACAUAGUUUAAUGUUUAGGCUGUUACCUCCUUUUCUAUAUUGUCAUUAAUGAUCAUGGAUUUAGUUUAAUCUUCCUAUAAUUAUUUCCGUAAGGUAAAUCCUUAGAAAGGGAUCGAAGGAUGAGUAGUAAAGGUUGCAAAGCUCUCCGAAUCUGGAGCCAGCAAUAACUGCUCAGACUCCCUUAAAAAUAAGAGCUCUAGGAAGGCCACACAUGCCCUUUCCCAGAUUCCUUCCCAUAGCUACACUUGGGCAGCCCUGACUUCUUUCACCUUGCCCUGAACGGAGAAUAGCCCUGAGAGAUGGCUGAGGAACAGGUAGUGAAUGAGCGAGUGGUGGUGUCAGUUUGGGUUUGGUUUUUGGAUAAACUUCACAGUUCCUCAUUGGAUGCUGAGAAAUGAUUAUUCAUUCAUGACCCAUUUAUGGAAGAGCCAUUGCUUCCAGAUGCCAGGCUAGAGGCUGAGAAGACAGAGAUGGAUUAAACAGGAAUUCUUCUCUCAGGAAUAGCACAGCCUAGGGAAGGAAGGCCCGUGAUAGACAGCACACAUUUACUCCAUGAUAAAGAGGAAACGUAUAAGAUCAGUAAUAUAUCUCAGGGAAGAAAACUGGAACCAUCUAAAAUCCCACAGGGAAAAUAUGAGGUUCCUGCAGUCUACUAGCCCAUUCAUCUCAGCUAACACCUUUGUGUGGAUCCUUUGGUGGUGAGACUUGCUCGCUUGUGGUCAUCCUUGCUAAACACAACCUGCCCAAAGGCAUUGACCGUGUCCUUCCUUUGCACCUCUAGCAAACUGGUACCAUCUUAUACCAUGGCUUCUGAAAUCUGUUCAGUGUAAAAUCCAAAUUAGAGUAAACAAAAUUAAAGGUAAAGAGAUUCAUGAGUUGAAACAAAGACUCAAUGUUUUAUGUAUGUAAGAAAAUUUGCAUUAAUUCAUAUCCUUCUGCCUGAUAGAAACUUUCUCAGAUAUUUCAUUAUAGAAGAAACAAUCACAUUCCAGAAAAUGUGGGAAGUAGAGAAAAGGAGAAUUAUCAGCCCAUCUCACCAUCCUAACCCAGGGCAAAUAGCAUUCUAGUGACCUUUGCCCUGAAAAAUUUGUAUUAAGAUGGUGUUGAGGACAAGAGCUAAGGAACAUGUGAGUUUUUCAUCUCCAAUUUUAUUGUGAAUAAAUAUAUCUGAUAGUGAAUUAUAUUCAUGUAGUUCAAAAUUCAAAAACACAAAAACAGAGACUGAAAAGUCCAUGAACCCCAGCCUCUAUUACUUGGAGACAUCCAGGAGUCUCAGUGUCUUGUGUAUCCUUCUAGAGUUUUUGUGCAUAUUAAACCAUGCGUGUUUAUAAAAUAUGAGUUUUGACUAGAGGGCUUUGGCAAAACUGUUACCAAAUGUCCUAAAUUUAGCUAAACUAUCUUCAGUAAUUUUAAUGGCAGGCCUGAGGUACAGAUGGAGAAGAGAAAAGGAUGGAGAGAGCGAGAGAGAGAGAGAGAGAGAGAGAGAGUGCUCCUGAGGGAGAGCGUGAAAGAAAGAGCAAUCUUUCAUUUAUCCAACUAGUAUUUAUUGAGCAGAUAUUACAUCUCAGAUAUUAUUCUAUGCCCAGGUGAUACAAGAGUGAAAAAAAUUCCCUGACUUCAUGGGGAUUAAGAAUGGAAGGUGGCAAACAAUAACCAUAAUCAAAAAGUAAAUUAUAAAGUCCAUCAGAAUGUGAUAAGCGUUAUGGAAAAACACAAGUGGGGUCCAGGAGAUGAGGCACAUCAGGAGACAGUUUUAACAUGAGUGGUCAGGGAGGGCUUCACUGAGGAGGCCUUAAAGGAGGCGAGAAGAUGGGCCCUGCAGAUACUCAGGGAAAGGGCACUGCAGAGGGAAGAAGCAAUGCACAGGCCUCGCAGCAGAAGUCAAGGCCUGGAGGUUUCCAGCAGCCAACCUCCUCCAGCUCCGGGCUGUUCCUGGUAACCUGUGCCCGCAGCUGGCUUCCCUUGGAGUUCAGGUCAGGCCGGUGUGUUUGGGCCAUAGUGCUAAGCUUACUGUAUACUAGACGUCAGUUUGUCUUCUCUCUAAAUUUUGAUUCUGAUGCUUAAUUUGACUCCUUCCAAGGUGAUUCUGUGGUUAGUCUGAAUAAGGAAAGGAGAGGGGCAGUGUUAUUGUAGUAGGUAGACAAGGUUGACAUUUGGGGGUCCUGGCUUUUAAACCAAUUCUGUUUUCAAGUCUUUUGUCAGACACAUUAUUCAACCUUUCCGGUCCUCAGGUUUGUCUCUUAGGAAACAAAAAGAAUGUGCUUAGUUGGCUUUAGGGCUGUCCCUACCAUUGGUUUUCAAGCUCUGUGACCAUGUGAGCAGUCCAGGUAGGAAGUGGCAUCAGAUGACAUCUAGCAACACCAGGGGACACAGAGGAGCUUCUGCCUGCAGAGGACUGUGUGCAUGAUAUGUGCCGCCACCUCGUUUCCCUUCUAGACUAGAAGAGCCCAGACCAGAAGAGCCCAGACCAUCCUUCAAAUAGAAUAUUUCACCUGAAUAAGCCCAGAAUUCCCUAAGUGAACAGAGGAGACAUGGGGACACGGUUAAUUGCUUUGUUCUUGUGCCGUUGGCAGUAUGGUUCCCUUUAAGCCCAGAAGGGCUCCUUUCCCCUGCCCCUUGGCGGAGCUCAUUCUCCAUAGGCAGUAGGGGUGGCAUGCUGGGGCCAGGGCUCCUUGUUUUGUUCCUUUGGGCCACAGAGGUCCCCUCCCUGUUUAGUGUCUUCCAGUUGGACACAGGGAGUCUUCGUCUACCUGGGGAAUAAGACACUGAGGAGGAGGGAAGCGUGUCAUGGACACCACUCUCCUUCCAGCAAAGUCACUGUGAAUUUAAAACUCAGACUGUGUGUAAGAGGUUGUGGGGGCAGAAAGGGGCCUUUGGAAAUUUCAUUUGGAGGCAGAGGUGCUAAACAUGAAUAGAAGCCUUUGCUUUGACUCUCAGAGGGUGAGUCACCUUGGUUAUAGUUACUCUUGGUUAUUCCUUGCUUUUUCUUUUGUUAUCUCCGCCCGCACCCCCGCCAUACCCACCCAUCUUUAGCAUUCUUAGCUGCUUUUCUACAGGUCAGCUGAAAAGUGACUUGCAGAAUAGGGCUUCUCUUCCCCUAUUGGAGUUCAUGGGCAUUAUGUUUCCUAGCACUGGGAGGAAAUAUACACGACCAUGCACUUUCCACUCAUAAAGGACCCUGAGGUAUUUAAUUGUGAAAAUCAACUUCUGAUUUAUGUUACUUUCCCAGUGCCUUUUCUUUACACACAUAUGAAAAUUGCUCUAUUACUUCUUACAUUUCAUGCAGUGCCCUUUGUCUCCAUCAACUGUUGUGGAGAGAAAUUUUAUUUGGAAUAUUCAUAACAAGUCUAUCGCUAAUUAUCACUUUAACAAUGUGUUAUGGAGUGUAUCCAUGCAGUCAUCUGGAAAAGCACAUAUGCCAUGAAAUUUGGGGACUUGCUGUGUGCUGUAGGUGCCCAGUCUCAGUGUUUCAUCAGAUCUUUGCUUGGGGAGGAGGUAGAGGUGCUUUGUGAGGGAGUAUGGAGGCCUGCAUCCUGCAUUCCUGUCCUCAUAGCAACAGUUUCCAGGGUGACUUGUUUUUGAGUGUAAAAAAAACCUUAAUGUGAAACAAAAACCCUUCCCUACUCUGCAGCCCUAUUACGGUCAGCCCAGGUCAGUGCCAGGUAGACUGAUCUUAGCCACAGAGCUAAUCGCAGAUGAAGACCCUGCUGUUCUUGGUGCCAUCCUGGCACUCUGGCAAGAAGAGUGGAGCUAAAAUUGCCACCUGGUUGGCAGGCCUCAGAAGCAAAUGGAGAGUGACCUCAGCAUGUCAGAAUGAGAAAGGAAAGAAUGCCUCGGUGUUUCUUUCUUCCUGCUCUCUUUUCUCUGGGAAAGGAGAAUGGACUCACACUGGGUUUCUUCUCCAGGAUUCUCAGUGAGUCUGGGAUUUGGGAGGCUAGAAUCAUAUUUUUACCAGGACACAUGGAGCGCUUCCCUCUGAAGCUUCCUGAUGGACAUGGAUGAAGCCCCAGAGGCUGCCUCCAAAUGAGGGCAGAGUAAUGGAGCCUAAUGGAGCACAGCUCCUAGUCUGAGCACAGUCCUACCGCAGGGAUAAAUCAAGCAGCCUUUAGGUGGGGCCAGGAAGGGGACAGAGGGAAAUGAAUGACUGUGUUGAGCUCAGCAUGACUUUGUGGAUCCUCUGAAGCUUUUAACUAAGUGGAGGAUUCAGACUCAGGAAUUUACUGAGGAAUAUGACUUGGAAGGAUGGAAAGUUGCAUCUGUUAUAACAAGCUUUUAAGGAUGAGUUUUCAGAGCACUUGGAGCCUGGUUUUGUUGGAUGUUACUUUAGAAAUAAUAACUACUUAUUAUUUGUUAAGUGCUUACUCAGUACUAGGCACAUUGUUCAUCAUAAUCAAUAAUACCUAACAUUGAUGGAGUAUUUGUGAUGUACCAAACUCUCAAGCACUUUAGAUUCUGACUUAACUAGGUCCUAGAAGGAAGCCCCCAUUGGAGUCAUCACUAAUAUGUAGAGAAAUUGAGGCUCAGGGUAUUAGAUAACUUACCAGAAACACUAAGGAAACCAGUAGCUUUAGGUCAGUCACUUACCUGUUUCAGGACACAGAGCACAGAGGCUUUCCCCCUUUACCCUUUAUGAAACAGCAGGAGAGGACGGGGGCUGUAUCUCAGUGGUAGAGCUCUUGCCUAGCGUGUGCAAGGCUCUGGGUUUGAUCCCUUGUACCACAAAAACAAAACAACCAUAACAACAGCAAAACCAGCAGGAGAAAGUGCUGAGAAACAGCAAGAAAGUGGGGCACUGAAAGGGGACAGGAGUCUGUGUAGCCCUGGGUCAGUGCUGGUACAAAGCUGGCCUUAUGACCUGGGUGCUUUGCAUCUGUUAUAAUGCACUGUGAAAACCCAGUGUUAGCUGUUGUCCUAAAGAACUGAUUCAAUAAACCCUACAUUUCUGGACAUUUGGUUUCCUUGUUUCUAUUUGGGUGGCACUAGGAUUUGGGAGGAGCUAGUUGGGAAUGUAUUUAAGGAGGAAAACUUUGGAUGUGGUUUUAGAAACAAGGCACCACAACCAGACUGUGAUGCAGGCUUCAUCUGUGGACAGGUGUAUGUGGACAGGUGCAUUGUGCAGGCACCAGCGCGGGCAGAGGAAGUGGUAGGUUUGAAGGUAGCAAAAUAGGGCGGCUUUGUUGUUGUCUGGCAUGGGCCCUGCCAGGCCACAUCCAUUAACUAUGCCAACACCACUGCUAAUAGGUGGGUGAUUCAGCUCCUUCCUGCAUUUUAUUGCCCAACAGAGACUUUAAUAGCCUUUUGAUUUAGCAAGUUAACAAAGUAAGCUCUCAAGCUCCACUGUUUAACACCAGCUGGAUGACCCUGGGCCUGCUGCUGCCUGGAGCCCUCUGGUACAGUCUUUGCAUUGAAAGAAGAGAAAGCUGUGGAAUUUUCAGGCUCUCCUCGAGAGCUCCUUUUGGGGCAGCCCUGCCAGCCCAGCAUGCUUAGACCCCUCCGAUGUCAUAUGUCGCCCCCGCCCCCAUCAGUCCAGCCGCAGAAGAGAUCUGUCUAGAAGUUAAUAUCCCAGGAACCUAAAGGUUGGGUGUCUUUGAGGAAGAGUGUCAGAUGAGAAUGUGAGGGUUCCCGGAUGGGGCUCUUUAUUGAUUUCCUGGAACUAUUGUGUAACAAAUUAUCACAAACUGGAUAAUUUAAACAAUAAACACAUUCUACCACAGUUCUAAAAGCCAGAAGUUUGAACUCAAGGUGUUGGUAGGGCCAUGCUCCCUCAGAAGGCCCUAGAGAAGGACCUUUGCAUGUCUCUUACUGGCUUCUGGUGGUUGCCAGUGAUCCUUACUGUCCCUUAGCUCGUAGACACAUCACUCUGUCUCUGCCUCUGUGGCCACACAGCCUUCUCCCUGUGUACGUCUUAUAAGGACACAAGCUGUAUUGGAUUUGGGGUCCACACAACUCCAGGAUGCUCUCAUCUUAACUAGUUACAGCUGGAAAGGCCCUGUUUGAAAGCAACAUAAGAGUCUGAGGUUCUGGGUGGACCUGAAUGUCCAGGCCCUUUAAAAGCAAGUGAAAAGAGGUAGGCCAUGUGGUAGCUGAUUCACACAGCUAGAGAGAGGUGGUUUCAGACAACACUUUCUGGUACAACUUUGUGCAGUGAUGGGAAGGCCCUGUAGCUGCACUGCUGAAAAUGUGGCUAAUGCGACAGAGGAACUGAAUUUAGCAUUGUGAUUGAUUUAAAUUAAGUUAAACAGUCAAGUCAUGUGACCAGGGGCUACUGUUGCAGAGAGCAAAGCCCUCAACCAGUGAAGGUGAACCUUUUAGAAACUGAGUGCCCAAACUGCAACAUAGAACCUACUUAUUUAUCGCAAAGUGCCAACACUGCCAUUAAACCCGAAUACUGAGGCUUUAGUUUAGAAAAGACAACUCAUAUAAUAAUAUCUUUUGUCUUGAAAGAAAAACAAAUAACACACGUGUCAUAGGUUCACCACCGCUGCCCUAAACCCUCCUGAGUGUGGAAUAGGAGAAGGAGACGUGAAGGCUGUCAAAGUCUGGGCAGGGCCAUUUGCAUCCAGGAUGGCCAUCAGCUGUUUAGGAUGCUGAUCAAGGUCUGCAGGGGUCUCUUUCCGUCUCCGGCUAGAGGAAGGACAUCACAUGGGAUCUCAGCACACAGGACAAUGGUCUCGGGAGUUCUUAAACCAGCAGCACCUCUUCCAAAGGAAGUCAUUUGUACUUUUGACAUGUAGGACCAUUAGUUGGAAGAGAGGCUGAUUUGGAUGGAGGUCAGAGACCUUCAUAGGGUUCCACCUUGCCUUCUCUUGAACCCUGAACCACAAAGUGAGGAAAUUAUGGUUGAGCCUACCAACCAUGUGAGAGAACAAGAAAUGGAGGUUCAGAGAAGUAGAGAAACUUAACAAGGUCACAGAGCAAGUGGUUUGAUGAAUAUCGUUAUCUUUGGAUUUCUGAGGAUCCAUUCCUGGGUCCUUCUAAAGUCCUUGAUGCCCUUUUUGAAAGAAGAUACUCAGUCUACUAGUCAGCUACUAUGAAAAAACUACUCUAAGGUCAGAUGCAACUUCUGGCUUAAUCACAACAGAAUUAAUGUUUGUUCGGUUGCUGGUUUUGUUUUGUGAACUGGCUGAGAUCUGUAGGUGAGUAUUAUGCAUGGGUACCCUUUCCAGGUGCCACUCAUCAAAUGCACACUAUAUGCCAUUACAGGCUGAGUAGAGUCCUUCAUUUCAUUGUAUCAUUGAAUCUCCAUAGGUUGGUGAUGUUGGUAUUACUGAUCCCAUUUGGGGAAAACUGAGGCUCAUGGGAGUGGGAGGCAGGGUUCCCAACCCAUGCCUUUUGCUCAGGGAGUUGCUGUCUCCUUAGAAGGAUGGUAAAGAAAUAUAAAAUAUCUGUCAUGAAUUAGGAAGAAUGUCCUAAAAUCUCAAGGUGCCAUUUAAAGGCAAAGACCAGUGUGGCUCGUGAGGGAAGGAGAGGCCAGACCAGGAGGUGACCACAAGCAGGUACAAGGCAGCCAGGCAUCCCAACGCAAUGCUGUGGUAAGAAAGCAAGGAGUAGAACAGCGUUGUGGAAAGUGAAAACCGCCUAGGAUGUGUGGGAGGCUGGAGGCAGAUGGGUGUGGAUGAGAAGGGCAAUAGGAGGGAUCCUUGUGUGAUGGAAAUGCUCUGUCUUUUCCCUGUAUCCAUGACUUGCCAUGAUAUUGUGGUAUAAGGUAGUUUUGCAAGACGUCGGCAUUGGGGGAAACUGGGUGAAGGGUACGUGAGAAUUCUAUGUGAAUCUAUACAAGUUUAAUUUUUAAAAUAUAUACAGAGUCUACUCCCAAAAAUGUAUAUACACUCCAAGAAAAGAAAUAUAGGAUGAUGUUUUUCCAACCCUCGUAUGGGGAAUCCUAGAGGAUGUCGUAUAUCGCAGAAAACCCACUCCACUGCUAGCCCUUAGAGAAGAAAUUAAAAGUACACGUGCAGCAAUUUCAAUGACCAAGGUUACACAAGCAGUAGUUGGCUGUACUAACAAAGUUCUGGAAGCCAGUGACCACACUUUGGCCACCUCUUGUAACUGUAGAGGCUGAAGGUAACUUACAUUAAACUCAUGAUGUCUCAAUAAAUUUAGUAUUAAAAUAUUUAUACAAGCUUUUCUUUUCUUGAAGUGCAUAUACUUUUUUGGUGAACUCUGUAUAUAUAUGGGAGAGAGAGUGGAGUUCACAGACCCCCAGCCCUUCACCCCUUGCAUGCACUCCAGGAGAAGCUUGCAUGGUGUCUUUUUGCAGCAAGGUAUCUUCAGGUGUCUGUCCUGGAUGCCUUUGGGCAGGACCAAGAGGAAUACAUGCCUGAGAGCUAGGCAGAUGGCACUCGGAGAGACAGAUGGCCAGAAUCCCCAGAGGUGGGAGCACUCACUGAGCACCUACUAGGUGCCAGGUGCUGUUCCAGGGCUAGAGACUGAGGUUAGGAAAGCUGGUGCAGCUUCCCACAGGUUUGCAUUGUACAGUUGAAGACAGAUGUAAACCAGGAACAGGGCAAUGCCAGGUGGUGACAGGUGCUGUGAAGAAGAUGAAAGAGCAGAGUGUGACAGAGUAGCUGGGGGCUGCUUUUGCUGGAGCAGUCAGGGAAGGCUUCUUUGAGGAAAACCUAAGUGAGAAGGAGGCAGCCAUGGGGACAUGUGAGGGAGAGUAUUCUAUGCAGGAGGAAGAGCAGGUGCAGGAUCUCUGAGACAGGAAUAAGCUUGUGCACGAGGGGCAAGAUGAAGACCAUAGGAAGGGAAGCACUGGCAUUGGGAGCUGGAGGGCGAUGAAGCUAAAAAGACAGGCAAAGGCCAGAUCCUAUAGGCAGGUGCUUGCAGAUGUUGGUAAGGAGUUGGUAUUGGGAGUCUCUGGCAGGUCUGAAGUAGGUACAUGGCCAGCUAUGUGUGGAUGGGUUUUAGAAGGGCAGGAGUGGAAAAUAGUAGACCACAUUGUACUACUGCAAUGGUCCAUGCAAGAGGGCAGUGUCAUGAGUAGGGCUUUGGCAUUGGCAUGGGAAACCUGUUGGAUUGGGGUUGCUCUGAGAGGAGAGCUAUCAGAGAUUUGCUGGUGGUUUACACAUGGAUGCGAUGGCAAGAAAAAGAUCCAGGAUGAUUCCCAGGUCUGCUGUUUCAUUCUAUCCCAGCUAACUCCAAAGGACUGGUCAGAGAAUGUCCUUCAGAGAAUAGCACUAAAAAUAGAUGAGAAUUGGGCUGAGCCUCAAAAAGUGUGGGUUGAAGGGGUGACCCCCUCACCAGUUUCACCACUCUGGUCCUUAGGCUCUUUCUUGCUGCAGGGAGCAGACCUGCUCUGCUUUUCUUGUACAUGGAGCUGAUUGUAAGAUGGUGGUGAGGUGAGGGGGUUUGGCAGCCAUCCUGGCAGUGGUCCUGUGACACCCAGGAGAACGGGGGCACAGUCUUCCCCCACCUAAGCAGCUAUCAGCAGACAUCAUAUACUGUCCAUGUCUCCACUGUUCUGAGCCAGCUGUGGUUUGGAGCCCCCUGCAGACAUGCUGCCUCCUCCUUCACUCUCUGGGCUGCACACUCCAGAUGCCCUGCAGGGAGAGUCUCCUAGGAUUGGCUGGUCCAUCCAGGCCAUGUCUGCAGGGCAGAGGGCUCGGGCCAGGCCAUUGCCAAGGCAGCUGGAGUCCUUGAUGCAUCCCCCAAAAGCCAUUGCCUUUGACUUGUUCUGGGCCUAGUUGUGGCCCAAGCAUCAUGGAACAGAAAAUGUGCAUAGCAGCACAAGUGCCCGGGGCUGGGUGUGACCUCCAGAGGUGUGGCAGGCAUUGGCAUAGACGUCCUGGACACAAAAGCUGUGCAAUUCAGGAAGGCCAGUGUCCAGUGGAUGAGAAGGACCUAACAUGUCAGUAAGGUGGACAGCUUCUGUCGGCAAAAGUGGGAGGCACGCAGAAAAUAACCUUGGAUUUGUGUAAUAGUAUCUCUUGUGAUGUGGGAUUAAUUUUAUCUUUGGUGCUGCAUCUUUGGUGGCCCAGGGAACGCUGCAUUUCUCCACUCUCUUCCGUCCAUCAAAGUGGCUCCUCAAAGAGCACUUCUCACAUUCCUCACCCCAAGGAUAGAACAGAAUCACCUCAAGCACAGAACCAUGGCCCUAGGGGACAUGGCCUUCACCUGCUUCCUUUUUAUCUGCCUCGCCUAAUUCAUCUUUCCUUUCUUUUUCUCCCUUAAUCCCUCGAAGUUAGCCAGGGAGGGGCAGAAAGGAAUCUUGGUUUUUGUCUGACUCUAUAGGAGUACAGUUGCUAGAACUGAACUGUGUUUCCCCUAAAUUCCUAGGUUGAGCCCGAAUCCUACUGUAAGUGUAUGUGGACAGAGGCCUUGAGGGGGGAAAGGGUCCUGCAGAGCACUGGUAUUCUUAGGAGAAGAGACGCUAGAGGUUGCUUCCUCCCCUGCACACACAGAGGAAAGUUCAUCGGGGUCAGACAGAAGGCAGAUGUCUACAAGCCAGGAAGAAAGUCCUCACUAGACAGCUAAUCCUCAGAACCUUGAUCUGAGACUCCGCAGCCUCCAGAACUUUGUGAAAUUACACUCCUGUUGUUUCAGCCAGCCAGUCAUUGGUAUUUUGAUGUGAAAGAAUGAGCAAACCAAGACAAUGAUAUUUUCAAAUAAGUUGUUUUCUAUGUACCGAGAGUUUUUUGAUGUGUCAAAAUUUUUUUGGUGCUCACAUGCUAGGGAUCAGUUAUUCUGGUCCCCAAGCCAGAUAAAUUAGAUAGCAUCAUUGCUACUGCAGAACCCUAAUGGCUUCACAAGUAGUUUAUAAUAAAAUCGGAGACUGUAACAUGAUCAAUGUGACCCUAGCUUUGCCUGCUGCUCCAGCUUCCCUUCCUAACUCCUCAUCCCCCGUUACUGCUGUCCUUCCCCCAGCAUGUUCCCACCCCAGGGCCUUUGCAUUUGCCAUUCCUUCUGCCUGGAAUGCCUUUUUGUACCAUUUCAUUUCAAAUAGCAGUCCCUAGCACUUUCUAUUCUCUUACCUUUAUUUUUUAUUUUUCAUAACAUUAAUCACUACUCAUACUAUUUAUGCAUAAUACUAACAUGUUUAUUUGUUUAUGUCCUCCACUGGAAUACUUCCACACCUUGAAGCUUGAAGUCAGCAGAACCAAGGAGGCUCUGGAGCCACACCUAGCCCCUUCCCAAGCCAGGGAUCCUCUGCCCUUUCUGUGAAUGGUAGUUACACACCAGGAGGCAGAGUAAAGUACAAAGCUUUGAAGUCAGCUGGUUCUAGAUUCAAGUUUCACCUCUCUUAUUCACUCUUUUGUGCUUUGGGCUAAAUUCCUUGGCCUCUCAAAGUGCUCUUUCCUUGCCAUGAAGAUAGAAACAAUGCCAUCCUAUCCCUUGAGUUUUUUCCUUCUGUAACCCUCUGGGCCUCAUGUAUAGUUGGUGAGUGGACUAAAGACCUCAAAAAGCCACCUUCUCAUAUAGCUUUGCAGAAUGUAGAAAGCUUGAAUCAAUGACCUCUAUGUAUACUAGCAAUGCCAGAGCUAUAAAUCAGCAACAGGAACAAAAUAUUGCUGUCAGGGGGGCCAUCUGGAGAUCUCAGAGGGCCCCACUUUGAGAAUUACUGCUGGAGCAUUUACUCCUAUUGAUUUGUUGAACCCAUACAUUUUGGCCAUUGGCUUUGGGAGUUCUGAGAGUGGGAAGCCCUUCACUUUGUUUGUCAUUAAAGAAUACCUGAUGGGGUUCUUUUUGCUAGAUUGUUGUUUCUGUGUCUUCCACCCCCAAAGUGGAGCGCCUUUACUUACAUUUGUUGAAUCUGUGCCUAAACCAGAGCUCAGAGUUCAAGGCUGUCAUUUGCUCUAAGAAAAGGUUUGUUUCCCAGAGUUUAAGUGACAGGCACAGCAGCAAAGCCUGAGUCCAUUUGUAGAACUCAGCCAGGCCUUAAGCUGGAGGGAUAAUAGAGGUGGAGGGUAAAACAGCAGUGGUUUUGGAACCAGACAGGCUAGGUAGGAUCAUCUCUGCAUUGUUUCUCAGGAUGUUAAGUCUCACAGAAGAGAGAUACCUUAACCAUGGUCUCAUUGCUAGUGUUUACCAGAGCUGACCCAGAGGCUGCUCUCUGGAAGUCCUUUUUUGUACAUUUGCAACACAAGCUGAUCCAUCCAUAUCACAAGCAUCCAUAUCACCUGGAAACAGAAAUGCAGCUCACAGGGCUGGUCUUGGUUACUUUCCCAUUGCUAAGACAAAAUACCCAACACCCUCAAGUUACAGUAGGAAAGGUUUCUUUUAGCUCACAGUUUGUAGAGGUUUCAGUCCAUAGUCAGCUGGCUCCAAAGCAGGGUAGCAUGGCGGGGUGGCAUGGCAUGGCUGAGGAGAAAGAGUUCAUAACCUAGCAGGCAGGAAGCAGCAUGCCCUAUUUUGUUCCCUUUUUAUUCCAUCCAAGGUGCAAGCCUAUUGCUUUGUGCCACCCACACCUAGGGUUGGUCAUCCCUCUUCAGUAAGCCCAUUAUCCACACCCAGAACUAUGCUAAACCAAUCAGUAGACUAAACCAGUAUCACACACCUAUGAUCCCAGGCAUCUCCCAAAAGCCCCACCUAUGAGUGCAUGAGGCUUUGGGAGACAUCUGAAUCAGUGGUGGUGAACCCAUGGCACACGUGCUUCAGCAGGCUGUUUGUAGCAUGGAAAGCUCUAAAAGGUUCACCACCACUGAUCUAAAUGUAAGUCCUAAGAGACCUGAUCCCAGAUCAUCUGAUUCAGAAUCUGAAUUUUAAAAAGAUGGCUUGGGUGAUUCUAAUGCACAUUAAAAUUGGAGGAGUACAUCCAUGCACACCCCCUCUGGUGGAGAGUAAAAUGGUGACUUGUCCCUAAGCAAGAAUUCCCAUCUCUAUUGGGUGUUGGCACAGUGUUGGGCUAAACAGCAAAGCUCAAGGCCUCCACUGUCCAAGUUCAAACCCUGGUGCCCUGCGUAUCAGCUAUAUGAUGUUGCACAGGUUAGGUCAUUUUUCUGUGUGUCAGUGUCCUUAACUCUGGGUGGAUCAUAAGAGAACGACCUCCCAACCUGACUAUUGCCUGGGUUAAAUGAAAUAGCCAAUGUCCCCUGAACCUUGCUGUAAGACAGGCGAUACUCUUAAAUUUUCCAUGAGCUUAGACUCACACCCUGUGUUCCAGUGUCAGAUCAGUGUUGCUUUUUCCUUACCUCAUGGGACUCUAGAAAGAAGUAUGACACCUUUUACAGUACUAAUGCAAAGAGGUUAGCUCAUAAUGCUCUAAAGCCUCAGCAAUCCCCAUGUUGAGCAUUCCCUUAACUGCAGGGUUUCCUACGAGAGAGUCUCAGGCUUUGGUUUAAUCUUAAAGUUGGCAUCUGGAGGCUCAUCCCAGCAGAUAUUGCAGAAUGUUCUGGGAAGAUCCUUUUCAGCUAAACAACUGAUUCUCGUGUAGUUUAUAGACAGCAAUUCCAAGCUAAGAGACCAUAUAAAAUGAUAGGAUUCGGGAGCUGUCAAACUUCCUGGUAAUCACUACAUUCAAACACCUCAUUCUGCAGAUAAGAAAACAGCUUCAGAGAGGUCAAAUGGCUUGCUUAAGGUCACCCAGUUGGUUAAUGGCAGGAACAGAGGUAAAAGGAAGGGCUCAUUCUCAACCCAGUGCUUCCCUCUAUAAAUGUGCAGGUGUCCUCUCACUCUUUCAUUCAACAAAUAUUUCUUAAAAGUUUACAUUGUGCUGGGUGCUAUUUAGAAGCUGGGGAAAUAGUGAUGAGGACUAUAGGAAGGUAUCUGUCCUUUGAAGCUUCCAUGCUGAGAAAGGAGGAAAAAGUGAGCAUGAAAGGGAACAAAGAACCAAAUGAUUUUGGAUGCUAUUGACUGCAAAGAAGGACACAGAAUGCAGGGGAAGGUGCUAGGAAUUGACUUGGGCUGGGAAUCUGGCUGGGACAGUAUCCUCUGAGAUGGCAGAUUAGAGACAAGCCAUGAAUGAAGGAUAGGAGUGAGUCAAGCAAGUGUGGUGGUAAGAAGCUUCCAACAAGAGUCAGCUCACUGCUCCCUCCCGGCUCUUCUUCCAGCCAACCAUCCCAGGUUAGCUUCCUCUGACACAGAUGCAGAGACACUGAUCCAUCUGCAUGCAGAGGAUUUCUGGAGCAUGGAGGAAGUGGGGAUGAGCAGAGGCAGGUGGGCUGUGAUGCAAUUGCAAUGAGGCCUGAGUCUGUUCUAUGGAGGUUUUGAGGUGAAAUGGCUCUUCAGAGUGGUCCUACUUUGAGGCCAAGGGGCCAGGUCUUUGUCCUCAUGGCACUGAUCAGUUGCUGGAUACAGACUGAUCCUGGGAAAUGCGGUGGUCUUAUCUCAGGCAGCUCCCUUCCGGUGAAGGAACUUCCUGGGGGAGGGACUCGCAUGUGAGCUGUCAGUGGGCCAUACCCCACCACUGGGAGACAGAGGGAGGGGGCUCUGCUCUGUCACCACCUGCAUCCUCCACAGCCCUCACCUGGGUCCUCAAACUGUUCCUGGUAGGAUUCUCCCACUGCAGGAAAUGAGGACAUCUGUAUCUUGGCUUAUGUUUGCCUUGUCUGAGUAUUCAUUUAUUGAUCACAGAAUUGUUGAUGUUUGCUGUUUUCUGACUUCUGGGCUAGGUACUGUAGCGACAGAAAUGAAUUUGGUAAGUUUCCAUCCUGGAGCUUACAGGACUUGGAGGGGAAAAAUACAAGUAGAUAGAGACAGUUACACAGGUAUUUUUGAGCAGUGAAUUAUCUCAGAAUACUUCUGCUGGGAGGGAAGAUGUGGUCACUUCAACCUUCAAAUCCAUGGGAUCAAUGGGAGCUUUUUUACCUGAAUAUAUCCACUUUUAUAUACCAAACAGGGGUCAUGGAAUUUUAUAAACCCAUUUGAUUAGCCUGGGAAGGAAGGAAAGCAUGAAGGGAGAAAUAAAUGAACUUGUACACCAAUAACAAGACGAAUAGUGACUAAUAUUUAAUUUGCCUUACUGUGUGCCAGGCAUGGUUCUGAAAACUAAGUGUGAAUGAGCUCACAAAGGCCUCUCAGUAUUUCUACUAGAGAGACACUGUUGCAGAUGAGGAAACUAUAAUAGAAAUUUCAGAGUUCUUGGGUCUUUUUUUAAAAUUAGGAACAUAAAUGCAUGUUCUGCACUUUGAUUUGAUUCUAUAGGAAAAAUUGAAUUGCUGGAGUAUUUAAUAUAUGUGUUAAUGAUCUAGAUCUAUAGCCUCCAAUCAGUCUAUAUCCUCUGUCCUUUCUUUAGCAUUCACUGAAACUGCUGCUCUGGCUGGGAUGGAGUGGGGAGGAGAGGGAGCCUGAACCAGCCCAUUCUCCAGUUUCCCCGCCCACCCGCUCCCCAGCAGGGUCUUGGACAUCAUAACUGGAACUUUGGUGGCACCCAAAAAUAAUGUAAAACCCAACUAAUCUAGAAUCCAGCACUGAUUUGGAGGUGAUAGGAAAUUGGUGAAACUGGCAAAUAGUGGCAGGGAAGAGGUGCCACCAUGCCAGCCAACAGGGUGAAGAAGGAAAUGAAGAUUCAGAAAAAACAUCACAUGGGUUCAGGUUUCAGCUGGUGCCAGUGAGGAUAUUCAGUGAAACGCUCUUGGUGACCACUGGAAAAGGUGAAUUUCAUGUAGAUUUGUAAUAGAACAAGAAUGCACCUCUUCAUCUGCUGAGGCUCAUGCUUCUUACCUGUUUCAGUCAGAAUUCCCUGAUCUUUACUGCCAGCAGCCCCCCCCCCCCAGCUUUAAGACAGCCUGGCUACCACCUUGCCUGGGGGUUUCUCCCACCGAAGAAUAGUAGAGGUAGGAAAGCGCUUUGGGUAGAGAAAACAGCUGGGACUUUGGAAUCUCGCAGACAGCUGUGGCUUCUGUGUGACUUGGGAAGAAGCCAUGCUUCUUUGCGCUUCUCUAUCUUCAUCUGUAAACCAGAGGCAAUAAGAUGAUAAGUCCUCCACUAAAGAAUGAGGGGAUUAAAGUAACCAGAUUGGUGCCAAGUUCGUGGCAGUGUGUGGUCACUAUUCAUGCAGACUACAACUGCCUGAGCAGAUUUGAAGUCAGUAACUUUUUCCCUGGUUUUAUUAAAGUAAUACAUUUAUAUAAUAUUUGAAAAACAUAUGCACCCAUUAUCUUGCUACCUAACAACAGCCACUGUUAAUGUUUUGAUGUAUUUACUUUUAUGCUUUUUUCUGAUAAAUGAUUUUUACUGUAUUUAUAGUUCUAGAUUCUCUUGACUCAUCAUGAACAUUUUUCCAUGUCAGCUAUAAGUUUUGGGAGAAAAAAACAUGAUUACUAGUGGCCAUAUGAUAUUAUAUUAUUUGGGUUUAUCAUUAUUAACUUAGCCAUUUUCCCAACUGGUCAUUCAAGAUGUUCCUUAUUUUUUGCUCUUACCAAUGAUCACUAAUAAUAAACAAAAUAUUCUUUAAGCCCAUCUCUGAUUAUUUCACUUGAAUAAAUUCCUAGGUGUAUAUUACUGGGUCAGAGGGAAUAUAAGGCCAAACCAAAAGGUUGUAUCAGUUUACAUUCUUGAACUGGGCUUUGAAAGAGGAGCAAUUUCUGAGGCUACAUUUCCUGUUCUGUAAAAUGUAGAUAAUAGUAUGACCUUGACAGUUUCCUCAGUACUGAAUGGUUUGUGUACAUGAGCCAUCAAGCUGGUCCAGUGCCUGGUGCCCUUCCCCCUUUAUCUUCCUGACAGCCCAGCCUAACUGUCUCAUGGAAUGAACCACAAUGUGAUCACACAUCCCAUAAAGGGGCAGGGCAUUUGCCCCUGCAGGCACACUUGAAACCCUGAGUAAGUGUGGCUGCCAGUCUAAGACCAAAUACUCUAAUUAGAACUCCCCAUUUCUCUGAG
This 18365-nucleotide long non-coding RNA is filed under the name Heterocephalus glaber (naked mole-rat). RNAcentral's name for it is "lncRNA (ENSHGLG00000039308.1)". Lineage: Eukaryota; Metazoa; Chordata; Mammalia; Rodentia; Bathyergidae. The record is from RNAcentral.